UGCAAGUCGAGCGAAGCACUCUGCUUUGAUUCUUACGGGAUGAAGAGCAUUGUGACUGAGCGGCGGACGGGUGAGUAACGCGUGGGUAACCUGCCUCAUACAGGGGGAUAACAGUUAGAAAUGGCUGCUAAUACCGCAUAAGACCACAGCACCGCAUGGUGCAGGGGUAAAAACUCCGGUGGUAUGAGAUGGACCCGCGUCUGAUUAGCUAGUUGGUGGGGUAACGGCCUACCAAGGCGACGAUCAGUAGCCGACCUGAGAGGGUGACCGGCCACAUUGGGACUGAGACACGGCCCAAACUCCUACGGGAGGCAGCAGUGGGGAAUAUUGCACAAUGGGGGAAACCCUGAUGCAGCGACGCCGCGUGAGCGAAGAAGUAUUUCGGUAUGUAAAGCUCUAUCAGCAGGGAAGAAAAUGACGGUACCUGACUAAGAAGCCCCGGCUAACUACGUGCCAGCAGCCGCGGUAAUACGUAGGGGGCAAGCGUUAUCCGGAUUUACUGGGUGUAAAGGGAGCGUAGACGGCGAGGCAAGUCUGAUGUGAAAACCCGGGGCUCAACCCCGUGACUGCAUUGGAACUGUUUUGCUUGAGUGCCGGAGAGGUAAGCGGAAUUCCUAGUGUAGCGGUGAAAUGCGUAGAUAUUAGGAGGAACACCAGUGGCGAAGGCGGCUUACUGGACGGCAACUGACGUUGAGGCUCGAAAGCGUGGGGAGCAAACAGGAUUAGAUA
RNAcentral lists this ribosomal RNA (729 nucleotides) under uncultured bacterium. RNAcentral describes it as "bacterial SSU rRNA". It matches the Rfam family "Bacterial small subunit ribosomal RNA", at positions 56 to 784 of the family's 1533-position model. The record is from RNAcentral.